GACGAACGCUGGCGGCGUGCUUAACACAUGCAAGUCGAACGGUAAGGCCCUUCGGGGUACACGAGUGGCGAACGGGUGAGUAACACGUGGGUGAUCUGCCCUGCACUUCGGGAUAAGCCUGGGAAACUGGGUCUAAUACCGGAGAGGACCUCUGCUUGCAUGGGUGGUGGGGGAAAGCUUUUGCGGUGUGGGGUGGGCCUGGGGCCUAUCAGCUUGUUGGUGGGGUGAUGGCCUACCAAGGGGACGGCGGGUAGCCGGCCUGAGAGGGUGACCGGCCACACUGGGACUGAGAUACGGCCCAGACUCCUACGGGAGGCAGCAGUGGGGAAUAUUGCACAAUGGGCGCAAGCCUGAUGCAGCGACGCCGCGUGAGGGAUGACGGCCUUCGGGUUGUAAACCUCUUUCAGCACCGACGAAGCGCAAGUGACGGUAGGUGCAGAAGAAGGACCGGCCAACUACGUGCCAGCAGCCGCCGUAA
Molecule: ribosomal RNA, 478 nt
Filed under: uncultured bacterium
Lineage: Bacteria
Description: partial 16S ribosomal RNA
Rfam family: Bacterial small subunit ribosomal RNA
Source: RNAcentral